Molecule: ribosomal RNA, 460 nt
Filed under: uncultured bacterium
Lineage: Bacteria
Description: partial 16S ribosomal RNA
Rfam family: Bacterial small subunit ribosomal RNA
Source: RNAcentral
CCUACGGGCGGCAGCAGUGAGGAAUAUUGGUCAAUGGCCGGAAGGCUGAACCAGCCAUGCCGCGUGAAGGUCAGUGCCCUAUGGGCGUUAAACUUCUUUUGUGCGGGAGCAAUAAUGGUCACGUGUGGCCAGACGAGAGUACCGUACGAAUAAGCAUCGGCUAACACCGUGCCAGCAGCCGCGGGAAUACGGGGGAUGCAAGCGUUAUCCGGAUUUAUUGGGUUUAAAGGGUGCGUAGGCGGGGAGGUAAGUCAGCGUGGAAAUGCCCCCGCGCAACGGGGUGAAGUGCCAUGGAUACUGCCUUGCUGGAAUGCGGAUGCGGUGGGAGGAAUGUGUGGUGUAGCGGUGAAAUGCAUAGAUAGCACACAGAACACCGAUUGCGAAGGCAUCUCACGAAUCCGCGAUUGACGCUGAUGCACGAAAGCGUGGGUAUCAAACAGGAUUAGAUACCCGAGUAGUC